Benincasa hispida (wax gourd) is the source of this 144-nucleotide small nucleolar RNA. RefSeq annotates it as small nucleolar RNA snoR2/U65. NCBI's taxonomy places the organism in Eukaryota, Viridiplantae, Streptophyta, Magnoliopsida, Cucurbitales, Cucurbitaceae. The record is from RefSeq and is a predicted model, not a curated record.
GGUUCGAUGCCACGUCGUCGAUAGCUCAAGGGCGGUGAUCGACGAUGCUAUGAUUGAACCAAAAAUAAGUUUUUUCACAUGUCGAUAGGAAUCUGUUUAUCUUUGUUCUAUAGAUUUACAGAGCCGUUUUGUGUGAUUACAUUU